GCAGGUCAGAGGCACAACAGACGUGCCCUCGCCAGGCGCCUUCUAAGCGCUUGGCCGCAGGUUCGAGUCCUGCCGGGGGCG
RNAcentral lists this transfer RNA (81 nucleotides) under Streptomyces sp. AK010. Its description in RNAcentral is "tRNA-Arg". The stretch from base 25 to 81 matches the Rfam family "tRNA". Rfam says of the family: Transfer RNA (tRNA) molecules are approximately 80 nucleotides in length. Their secondary structure includes four short double-helical elements and three loops (D, anti-codon, and T loops). The record is from RNAcentral. Lineage: Bacteria; Bacillati; Actinomycetota; Actinomycetes; Kitasatosporales; Streptomycetaceae.